Molecule: ribosomal RNA, 837 nt
Filed under: uncultured archaeon
Lineage: Archaea
Description: bacterial SSU rRNA
Rfam family: Archaeal small subunit ribosomal RNA
Source: RNAcentral
ACGGCUCAGUAACACGUGGACAACCUGCCCUUUAGGUUGGGUAUAAACCCGGGAAACUGGGUAUAAUACCCGAUAGGUCUCGAUUGCUGGAAUGCAUCGAGAUUUAAAGCUCCGGCGCCUAAGGAUGGGUCUGCGGCCUAUCAGGUAGUAGUGGGUGUAGCGUACCUACUAGCCUACGACGGGUACGGGUUGUGAGAGCAAGAGCCCGGAGAUGGAUUCUGAGACACGAAUCCAGGCCCUACGGGGUGCAGCAGGCGCGAAAACUUUACAAUGCUGGCAACAGCGAUAAGGGAACCUCGAGUGCCAGGUUACAAAUCUGGCUGUCGAGAUGCCUAAAAAGCAUUUCAUAGCAAGGGCCGGGCAAGACCGGUGCCAGCCGCCGCGGUAACACCGGCGGCUCGAGUGGUAACCGUUAUUAUUGGGUCUAAAGGGUCUGUAGCCGGCCGGAUAAGUCUCUUGAGAAAUCUGGCAGCUUAACUGUCAGGCUUUCAGGAGAUACUGUCUGGCUCGAGGCCGGGAGAGGUGAGAGGUACUUCAGGGGUAGGGGUGAAAUCUUGUAAUCCUUGAAGGACCACCAGUGGCGAAGGCGUCUCACCAGAACGGACCUGACGGCAAGGGACGAAAGCUAGGGGCACGAACCGGAUUAGAUACCCGGGUAGUCCUAGCCGUAAACGAUACUCGCUAGGUGUCGGCCACGGUGCGACCGUUGUCGGUGCCGUAGGGAAGCCGUGAAGCGAGCCACCUGGGAAGUACGGCCGCAAGGCUGAAACUUAAAGGAAUUGGCGGGGGAGCACCACAACGGGUGGAGCUUGCGGUUUAAUUGGAUUCAACGCCGGG